AUUGAACGCUGGCGGCAUGCCUUACACAUGCAAGUCGAACGGUAACAGGUCUUCGGAUGCUUACGAGUGGCGCACGGGUGUGUAAUACAUCGGAACGUGCCUAGUAGUGGGGGGUAACUACUCGAAAGAGUGGCUAAUACCGCAUGAGAUCUACGGAUGAAAGCAGGGGAUCGCAAGACCUUGUGCUACUAGGGCGGCCGAUGGCUGAUUAGGUAGUUGGUGGGAUAAAAGCUUACCAAGCCGACGAUCUGUAGCUGGUCUGAGAGGACGAUCAGCCACAGUGGGACUGAGACACGGCACAGACUCUGACGGGAGGCAGCGGUGGGGAAUUGUGGAAAAUGGGCGGAAGCCUGCUCAAGGAAUGCCGCGUGCAGGAUGAAGGGCUUCGGGUUGUAAGAUGCUUUUGUACUGGACGAAAAGCUCUGCGUUAAUCCACUCGGGUCAUGACGGUACCGGAAGAAUAAGCACCGGCUAACUACGUG
This 482-nucleotide ribosomal RNA is filed under the name uncultured bacterium. RNAcentral describes it as "partial 16S ribosomal RNA". It matches the Rfam family "Bacterial small subunit ribosomal RNA", at positions 30 to 507 of the family's 1533-position model. The record is from RNAcentral.